Long non-coding RNA from Salmo salar (Atlantic salmon), 1798 nucleotides. RefSeq lists it as uncharacterized. Lineage: Eukaryota; Metazoa; Chordata; Actinopteri; Salmoniformes; Salmonidae. The record is from RefSeq and is a predicted model, not a curated record.
AACCAUUAGACUGAGAAUCAACAAUCAGUUUAGAUCGAUAAGAUCUAUUCACUUGGAAAUUGUGCUAAAUGUAGGCUACAUGUACUUAAUCAUUUGCAAAGAUGUACUGAGACAUUGAGACAUGUACUUAGACAUUUGCAAUUUGAUGAAAUGAAUGAGAAAUUCAAUUCUGUUGUGAACAAUUGCCAAGUGGUUUGGAGGUUUGUCCAUGUAGUUUUGAGAAUGUAAUUUCUGUUUCAAGAAAUGAGCCAAACCAAUGGAGAAAAACUGUAAUGCGCCACUCACAGGGUUGGUGUUCCCUAACGGAAAUAUGCAGAUGCCAAUAGGAUAUCGCUAGCGCGUGCUUGGCUAUGCCCACCUCCUUGCUUGUUCUGCCUGCCCACUAUGACUCAUUUGUUCCCAUUGGAAACGACAAGUGGUCUAUAUUGGUUUAGUUAUAAAAACAAUAUUUGCAGGAACUGUUGUGACUAGACACAGAUUAUCCAUUAUAUUGACGAUAUACUAAAGUGACCGUUAUAACGGAUGGGGAAAAAAUAUCCUUAAAAAAUGGAAGGCAUCCUUGAGUCACGAUCAGGUGGGACCAUUGUUUGCCCCCGAGUGGCGAAGCAUCUCAGAGCUAGAGGCGUGACUCCAGUCCCUGGUUAGAAUCUAGGACAUAUCACAUCAGGCCGUGAAUGGGAGUCCCAUCGGGCGGCGCACAAUUGGCCCAGCGUCGCACUGGUUUGGCCGCCGCCAUUGCAAAGUGUGGCAGGUGACUUUGGCUGAGGGAAAGAGUGUGCAACAGACAAUAUCUAUUCUGCACAAGAAGUUGGAGCAGUGCGGUGCUGUGAAGCAGGAAGUUUUACUGUGGACUGUGAGAUUUACCAUGCCACAGGAAAUGCCAGGGGCCAGCCCACCAAACUCCUGUAUGUGAUGCAUAACUCAGAAACACCCCUGAGCUGCUUAGCCCUAUUUGAAGGGGGUCCCUGUCUGACAUGCUCAUGAUUAAGUUGAAGAGCCACUUCCAGAACGCCAAGGGGCACAAGGUAGAGAGCCGUGGCUCCCACCACCACUAUUGUGAUUUCCUGAUAAAGGUUGGCGCUGUAAUAAAAUCACAUUUUAAUCAGUGUCGAGGGGCAUUUCAGUAGAGUGUACUACAACUGUAUGGUCCCUGGGGACUGCUGAAACCUGAUGAAAGAGUUCAUGCAAAGCUUCCUGGGCCCCAGCAUCAUGGAGCUGCCUUCUGUGUUUGCCACCAUGCCUGAGGGCCUCUACGCGCCAGCGGACUGUGUUAACACCAUGACCCAGUACCUGAAGAUGUUCAGCAAAGUGCGCAAACAGUAGGUUCUCCCAGGGACCACACUUUGUCACAUGCUUCAUAGACAACAGGUGUAGACUAACAGUGAAAUACUUACUUAGGGGUCCUUUUCCAACAAUGCUGAGUUAAAGAUAAGAUUAAAAUAAAAAAGAUAACAUAAAUAGUGACACAGUGAAUAACGAAUAAAAAUAAUGAAUAAAAAAUAACAUGGCUAUACACUGAGUGUACAAAACAUUACAUAGCUACCUCAAUUACCUUGUACCCCUGCACAUCGACUCGGUACUGGUACUCCCUAUAUACAAGGUGCACCAGUACUGAGUCGAUGUGGAGGGGUACAGAGUAAUUGAGGUACCUGUAGGGGUAAAGUACUAGCAGCAGCAUAUCUCACUGGUCAUCCCCAAAGCCAACACCUCCUUUGGCCGCCUUUCCUUCCAGUUCUCUGCUGCCAGUGACUGGAACAAAUUGCAAAAAUCGCUGAAGCUGGAGACUUAUAUUUCCCUC